ACACCGAGGAUGCAAGCGUUAUUCGGAUUUAUUGGGCGUAAAGAGCGUGUAGGCGGUUGGGUUAGUCAGAUGUGAAAUCCUUCUGCUCAACGGAAGAAGUGCAUCUGAAACUGCCCGACUUGAGUACGAGAGAGGAAAGUGGAAUUCCCAGUGUAGAGGUGAAAUUCGUAGAUAUUGGGAGGAACACCUGUGGCGAAGGCGACUUUCUAGAUCGAUACUGACGCUGAGGCGCGAAAGCGUGGGGAGCAAACAGGAUUAGAAACCCCAGUAGUCC
RNAcentral lists this ribosomal RNA (274 nucleotides) under uncultured bacterium. RNAcentral describes it as "partial 16S ribosomal RNA". It matches the Rfam family "Bacterial small subunit ribosomal RNA", at positions 523 to 796 of the family's 1533-position model. The record is from RNAcentral.